CACGUAGGGUGCGAGCGUUGUCCGGAAUUAUUGGGCGUAAAGAGCUCGUAGGCGGUUUGUCGCGUCUGCUGUGAAAACUCGGGGCUUAACCCCGGGCCUGCAGUGGGUACGGGCAGACUAGAGUGCGGUAGGGGAGACUGGAAUUCCUGGUGUAGCGGUGAAAUGCGCAGAUAUCAGGAGGAACACCGGUGGCGAAGGCGGCCACCUGGACGGUAACUGACGCUGAGACGCGAAAGCGUGGGGAGCAAACAGG
Molecule: ribosomal RNA, 253 nt
Filed under: uncultured bacterium
Lineage: Bacteria
Description: partial 16S ribosomal RNA
Rfam family: Bacterial small subunit ribosomal RNA
Source: RNAcentral